CCCGCACAAGCAGCGGGGCGUGUGGUUUAAUUCGAUGCUACACGAAGAACUUACCAGGGUUUGACAUACAAGUAGUAGGGAAAGGAAACUGGACCGACCCUUCGGGAGCUUGUACAGGUGCUGCAUGGCUGUCGUCAGCUCGUGUCGUGAGAUGUUCGGUUAAGUCCGCUAACGAGCGCAACCCUCGUCGUAUGUUAUAUGUGUCAUACGAGACUGCCGGUAAAAAGCCGGAGGAAGGUGAGGAUGAUGUCAAGUCAGCAUGACCUUUAUAUCCAGGGCUACACACACGCUACAAUGGUCUGUACAAUGGGUAGCCAAGCCGCGAGGCGGAGCCAAUCCUGAAAGCAGGCCUCAGUUCAGAUUGCAGUCUGCAACUCGACUGCAUGAAGCCGGAGUUGCUAGUAACCGCAGGUCAGCAAUACUGCGGUGAAUACGUUCCCGGGUCUU
This 447-nucleotide ribosomal RNA is filed under the name uncultured Anaerolineaceae bacterium. RNAcentral describes it as "bacterial SSU rRNA". It matches the Rfam family "Bacterial small subunit ribosomal RNA", at positions 920 to 1382 of the family's 1533-position model. Lineage: Bacteria; Bacillati; Chloroflexota; Anaerolineae; Anaerolineales; Anaerolineaceae. The record is from RNAcentral.